AUUGAACGCUGGCGGCAUGCCUAACACAUGCAAGUCGAGCGGAUGAAGGGGGCUUUCUCCUGGAUUCAGCGGCGGACGGGUGAGUAAUGCCUAGGAAUCUGCCUUGUAGUGGGGGAUAACGUCCGUAAACGGGCGCUAAUACCGCAUACGUCCUGAGGGAGAAAGUGGGGGAUCUUCGGACCUCACGCUAUCUGAUGAGCCUAGGUCGGAUUAGCUAGUUGGUUGGGUAAAGGCCUACCAAGGCGACGAUCCGUAACUGGUCUGAGAGGAUGAUCAGUCACACUGGAACUGAGACACGGUCCAGACUCCUACGGGAGGCAGCAGUGGGGAAUAUUGGACAAUGGGCGAAAGCCUGAUCCAGCAAUGCCGCGUGUGUGAAGAAGGUCUUCGGAUUGUAAAGCACUUUAAGUUGGGAGGAAGGGCAGUAAGUUAAUACCUUGCUGUUUUGACGUUACCAAAAGAAUAAGCACCGGCUAACUUCGUG
This 484-nucleotide ribosomal RNA is filed under the name uncultured bacterium. Its description in RNAcentral is "partial 16S ribosomal RNA". It matches the Rfam family "Bacterial small subunit ribosomal RNA", at positions 30 to 507 of the family's 1533-position model. The record is from RNAcentral.